Urocitellus parryii (Arctic ground squirrel) is the source of this 118-nucleotide small nucleolar RNA. The record is from Ensembl. Lineage: Eukaryota; Metazoa; Chordata; Mammalia; Rodentia; Sciuridae.
GCUGAGACUGGAGUCACAUCCCGACCCAGAACUUGUCCUGGUGUGCCACAGUUCUCUGGUUUUGAUUCACUGGAGGGGACAGUUAAUGUCCACAUUACUGCCCAGAUCAGAAAAGUAG